GCAUGCAGUUGAGCGAAGCUUUUUGGUAGUUUACUACUAGAAAUGACUGAGCGGCGAACGGGUGAGUAACGCGUGAGCAAUCUACCUUAGUUACUGGGAUAGCCCGAGGAAACUCGGAUUAAUACCGGAUAUUCUUAUUUUUUCACAUGAAGUUUUAAGGAAAGGUCAGCCGAACUAAGAUGAGCUCGCGUUCUAUCAGCUAGUUGGUGGGGUAAAAGCCUACCAAGGCUACGACGGAUAGCUGGUCUGAGAGGACGAUCAGCCACACUGGGGCUGAGACACGGCCCAGACUCCUACGGGAGGCUGCAGCAGGGAAUAUUGUGCAAUGAGCGAAAGCUUGACACAGCGACACCGCGUGUGGGAUGACGGUUCUAGGAUUGUAAACCACUUUCAGGAGGGAAGAAAAUGACGGUACCUCCACAAGAAGACCCGGCCAACUAUGUGCCAGCAGCCGCGGUAAUACAUAGGGGUCAAGCGUUGUCCGGAUUUAUUGGGCGUAAAGAGCUCGUAGGCGGUUCAACAAGUCGGUCGUAAAAGUUUAGGGCUCAACCCUAAAAUGUCGAUCGAUACUGUUGUGACUAGGAUACGGUAGAGGUGAAUGGAAUUCCGAGUGUAGCGGUGAAAUGCGUAGAUAUUCGGAGGAACACCAAUUGCGAAGGCAGUUCACUGGACCGUGAUCGGCGCUGAGGAGCGAAAGCUAGGGGAGCAAACAGGAUUAGAUACCCUGGUAGUCCUAGCUGUAAACGAUGGAUACUAGAUGUAGGAACUGGAUUGACGGUUUCUGUAUCGUAGCUAACGCGUUAAGUAUCCCGCCUGGGGAGUACGGUCGCAAGACUAAAACUCAAAGGAAUUGACGGGACCCCGCACAAGCGGCGGAGCAUGCGGCUUAAUUCGAUGAUACCCGUAGAACCUUACCUGGACUUGACAUAUAGGGAAAAACUGGAGAAAUCCAGUGUGCGUAAGCGCCCUAUACAGGUGGUGCAUGGCUGUCGUCAGCUC
This 999-nucleotide ribosomal RNA is filed under the name uncultured bacterium. RNAcentral describes it as "bacterial SSU rRNA". It matches the Rfam family "Bacterial small subunit ribosomal RNA", at positions 53 to 1061 of the family's 1533-position model. The record is from RNAcentral.